RNAcentral lists this ribosomal RNA (451 nucleotides) under uncultured bacterium. Its description in RNAcentral is "partial 16S ribosomal RNA". It matches the Rfam family "Bacterial small subunit ribosomal RNA", at positions 29 to 523 of the family's 1533-position model. The record is from RNAcentral.
AGCGAACGCUGGCGGCAGGCCUAACACAUGCAAGUCGAGCGGGCACCGCAAGGUGUCAGCGGCAGACGGGAGAGUAACACGUGGGAACGUGCCCUUCGGUUCGGAAUAACUCGGGGAAACACGUGCUAAUACCGAAUACGCCCUUACGGGGAAAGAUUUAUCGCCGAUGGAGCGGCCCGCGUCUGAUUAGCUAGUUGGUGGGGUAAUGGCUCACAAAGGCGACGAUCAGUAGCUGGUCUGAGAGGAUGAUCAGCCUCACUGGGACUGAGACACGGCCCAGACUCCUACGGGAGGCAGCAGUGGGGAAUAUUGGACAAUGGGCGCAAGCCUGAUCCAGCCAUGCCGCGUGGAUGAUGAAGGCCUUAGGGUUGUAAAGUCCUUUUAACGGGGAAGAUAAUGACAGUACCCGUAGAAUAAGCCCCGGCUAACUUCGUGCCAGCCGCCGCCGUAA